AAAAAAAGACAAAACAGCAAGUAACAAAAGGGCGGGCCUCAUUCAAAGCCAAGUGAAGUCAAUGGAAAGACUCCCAUUGACAAGCUCAGGCCUAAAGUGGGUAAAUAUGAGAAACAAAGUUUCUGUUCUUUAAAAUAUAAGAAAAAAAUAUGUACUAGGCAGAAUGUUACUAGCUUAUAAAGGCACAUAAUUUUUCACAUACUUGACCAUUUUUCUCUAUACUGUAUAUAGAAUCUCUGAUUAUUCUUGAAGGGUCUGGUACUACCUCGCGGCUACAGCCUCUUGACAAGUUUUCAUGCGAUUUAAAUGCACAUCUGGACUGAUGUACUACUUCCCUCCUGCCCCCAAACAAGUGAAGAAUGAAACAAAGAUAAUACUGAAGCAUACACGACAGGAUCGAGAGUGGUAGUGGAUGACUGAGUGAGUGAAGGAAGAGCUGGAACUAGCAUCCCUAUACAGCAAUGCUUUAUAUACGAGCUGAUAAUGUAGCCACGUAUCGGUAUCCAGGUAACAGGAACCUCGCCUUGGACCAUCUCACUUGCAGUUAUAGUCUCUUUCUGUAACAAGCCAUGAAAACACUUCUUUUGAAGGUUACAAAAUAAGCCUCAUAUUAAAGGGGACAGAAUAGCAGAAGAAUAGGAGAGUUGUAGAUGAUUUGCAAACAAACUCAUUAAGCUCUCACAAUGCUUUUAGUAUGAAUUAGUGAGGUGACAAAGGACUGAAUAUGCUCUGAUAGAGUAGCCUCAUCCUGAAAGUAUAACCUUAAUUGUCUGUCAGAUUCAUUAAACAUGUUCAUUACUCUGCCACAGAUAACCUAGGUACCUAAUCACUGGCAACAUGUUAGAUACCACCACAUAGGUAACUCUUCAGCCAUCUACCAAUAUCAUGCCUAACAGCUUUAUUUCCACAGCUCAAUGAAUAUUGCUUUAUACAUAGAUCUUUCCAUCAUUAAAACAGUGACAUUAAACAAUUACUUAUGGAUUUUUUGUUAUCUUGCUGCUAUUUAAUAAAAAUAACUCUCCACUGGCCUUUGUAAUAACC
This 1041-nucleotide long non-coding RNA is filed under the name Chrysemys picta bellii (western painted turtle). Its description in RNAcentral is "lncRNA (ENSCPBG00000020587.1)". The record is from RNAcentral. Lineage: Eukaryota; Metazoa; Chordata; Testudines; Emydidae.